UACGGGGGGGGUAAGCGUUGUUCGGAAUUACUGGGCGUAAAGGGCUCGUAGGCGGCCAACUAAGUCAUACGUGAAAUCCCUCAGCUUAACUGGGGAACUGCGUGUGAUACUGGAUGGCUUGGAUUUGGGAGAGGGAUGCGGAAUUCCAGGUGUAGCGGUGAAAUGCGCAGAUAUCAGGAGGAACACCAGCGGCGAAGGCGGCGCUCUGGGCUGGAACUGACGCUGAGGAGCGAAAGCGUGGGGAGCGAACAGG
RNAcentral lists this ribosomal RNA (253 nucleotides) under uncultured bacterium. Its description in RNAcentral is "partial 16S ribosomal RNA". It matches the Rfam family "Bacterial small subunit ribosomal RNA", at positions 524 to 776 of the family's 1533-position model. The record is from RNAcentral.